This 377-nucleotide ribosomal RNA is filed under the name uncultured bacterium. RNAcentral's name for it is "bacterial SSU rRNA". It matches the Rfam family "Bacterial small subunit ribosomal RNA", at positions 521 to 896 of the family's 1533-position model. The record is from RNAcentral.
UAAUACGAGGGGUGCUAGCGUUGUCCGGAAUUACUGGGCGUAAAGGGUGUCUAGGCGAUUAGGUAGGUUGUUUGUAAAAUACCCCGGCUUAACCGGGGACCUGCAUACAAAACUAUCUGGAUAGAGUUUGGGAGAGGAAAGUGGAAUUCCUGGUGUAGCGGUGACAUGCGUAGAUAUCAGGAGGAACACCAAAAGCGAAGGCAGCUUUCUGGCCCAAAACUGACGCUGAAGCACGAAAGCGUGGGGAGCAAACAGGAUUAGAUACCCUGGUAGUCCACGCUGUAAACGAUGAGCACUUGGUGUUGGGAGAUUCGACCCUCUCAGUGCCGAAGCUAACGCAUUAAGUGCUCCGCCUGGGGACUACGACCGCAAGGUUG